RNAcentral lists this ribosomal RNA (2902 nucleotides) under Klebsiella pneumoniae. RNAcentral describes it as "23S ribosomal RNA". It matches the Rfam family "Bacterial large subunit ribosomal RNA". The record is from RNAcentral. Lineage: Bacteria; Pseudomonadati; Pseudomonadota; Gammaproteobacteria; Enterobacterales; Enterobacteriaceae.
GGUUAAGCGACUAAGCGUACACGGUGGAUGCCCUGGCAGUCAGAGGCGAUGAAGGACGUGCUAAUCUGCGAAAAGCGUCGGUAAGGUGAUAUGAACCGUUAUAACCGGCGAUGUCCGAAUGGGGAAACCCAGUGUGAUUCGUCACACUAUCGUUAACUGAAUACAUAGGUUAACGAGGCGAACCGGGGGAACUGAAACAUCUAAGUACCCCGAGGAAAAGAAAUCAACCGAGAUUCCCCCAGUAGCGGCGAGCGAACGGGGAGCAGCCCAGAGUCUGAAUCAGCUUGUGUGUUAGUGGAACGGUCUGGAAAGUCCGACGGUACAGGGUGAUAGUCCCGUACACCAAAAUGCACAGGUUGUGAACUCGAAGAGUAGGGCGGGACACGUGGUAUCCUGUCUGAAUAUGGGGGGACCAUCCUCCAAGGCUAAAUACUCCUGACUGACCGAUAGUGAACCAGUACCGUGAGGGAAAGGCGAAAAGAACCCCGGCGAGGGGAGUGAAAAAGAACCUGAAACCGUGUACGUACAAGCAGUGGGAGCACCUUCGGGUGUGACUGCGUACCUUUUGUAUAAUGGGUCAGCGACUUAUAUUCUGUAGCAAGGUUAACCGUAUAGGGGAGCCGCAGGGAAACCGAGUCUUAACUGGGCGUUAAGUUGCAGGGUAUAGACCCGAAACCCGGUGAUCUAGCCAUGGGCAGGUUGAAGGUUGGGUAACACUAACUGGAGGACCGAACCGACUAAUGUUGAAAAAUUAGCGGAUGACUUGUGGCUGGGGGUGAAAGGCCAAUCAAACCGGGAGAUAGCUGGUUCUCCCCGAAAGCUAUUUAGGUAGCGCCUCGUGAACUCAUCUUCGGGGGUAGAGCACUGUUUCGGCUAGGGGGUCAUCCCGACUUACCAACCCGAUGCAAACUACGAAUACCGAAGAAUGUUAUCACGGGAGACACACGGCGGGUGCUAACGUCCGUCGUGAAGAGGGAAACAACCCAGACCGCCAGCUAAGGUCCCAAAGUCAUGGUUAAGUGGGAAACGAUGUGGGAAGGCACAGACAGCCAGGAUGUUGGCUUAGAAGCAGCCAUCAUUUAAAGAAAGCGUAAUAGCUCACUGGUCGAGUCGGCCUGCGCGGAAGAUGUAACGGGGCUAAACCAUGCACCGAAGCUGCGGCAGCGACACUAUGUGUUGUUGGGUAGGGGAGCGUUCUGUAAGCCUGCGAAGGUGUGCUGUGAGGCAUGCUGGAGGUAUCAGAAGUGCGAAUGCUGACAUAAGUAACGAUAAAGCGGGUGAAAAGCCCGCUCGCCGGAAGACCAAGGGUUCCUGUCCAACGUUAAUCGGGGCAGGGUGAGUCGACCCCUAAGGCGAGGCCGAAAGGCGUAGUCGAUGGGAAACAGGUUAAUAUUCCUGUACUUGGUGUUACUGCGAAGGGGGGACGGAGAAGGCUAUGUUAGCCGGGCGACGGUUGUCCCGGUUUAAGCAUGUAGGCUGGUUAUCCAGGCAAAUCCGGAUAAUCAAGGCUGAGGUGUGAUGACGAGGCACUACGGUGCUGAAGUAACAAAUGCCCUGCUUCCAGGAAAAGCCUCUAAGCAUCAGGUAACAUUAAAUCGUACCCCAAACCGACACAGGUGGUCAGGUAGAGAAUACCAAGGCGCUUGAGAGAACUCGGGUGAAGGAACUAGGCAAAAUGGUGCCGUAACUUCGGGAGAAGGCACGCUGGUGUGUAGGUGAAGUCCCUGCGGAUGGAGCUGAGACCAGUCGAAGAUACCAGCUGGCUGCAACUGUUUAUUAAAAACACAGCACUGUGCAAACACGAAAGUGGACGUAUACGGUGUGACGCCUGCCCGGUGCCGGAAGGUUAAUUGAUGGGGUUAUCCGUAAGGAGAAGCUCUUGAUCGAAGCCCCGGUAAACGGCGGCCGUAACUAUAACGGUCCUAAGGUAGCGAAAUUCCUUGUCGGGUAAGUUCCGACCUGCACGAAUGGCGUAAUGAUGGCCAGGCUGUCUCCACCCGAGACUCAGUGAAAUUGAACUCGCUGUGAAGAUGCAGUGUACCCGCGGCAAGACGGAAAGACCCCGUGAACCUUUACUAUAGCUUGACACUGAACAUUGAGCCUUGAUGUGUAGGAUAGGUGGGAGGCUUUGAAGCGUGGACGCCAGUCUGCGUGGAGCCAACCUUGAAAUACCACCCUUUAAUGUUUGAUGUUCUAACGUUGGCCCCUUACCGGGGUUGCGGACAGUGUCUGGUGGGUAGUUUGACUGGGGCGGUCUCCUCCCAAAGCGUAACGGAGGAGCACGAAGGUUAGCUAAUCCUGGUCGGACAUCAGGAGGUUAGUGCAAUGGCAUAAGCUAGCUUGACUGCGAGCGUGACGGCGCGAGCAGGUGCGAAAGCAGGUCAUAGUGAUCCGGUGGUUCUGAAUGGAAGGGCCAUCGCUCAACGGAUAAAAGGUACUCCGGGGAUAACAGGCUGAUACCGCCCAAGAGUUCAUAUCGACGGCGGUGUUUGGCACCUCGAUGUCGGCUCAUCACAUCCUGGGGCUGAAGUAGGUCCCAAGGGUAUGGCUGUUCGCCAUUUAAAGUGGUACGCGAGCUGGGUUUAGAACGUCGUGAGACAGUUCGGUCCCUAUCUGCCGUGGGCGCUGGAGAAUUGAGGGGGGCUGCUCCUAGUACGAGAGGACCGGAGUGGACGCAUCACUGGUGUUCGGGUUGUCAUGCCAAUGGCACUGCCCGGUAGCUAAAUGCGGAAGAGAUAAGUGCUGAAAGCAUCUAAGCACGAAACUUGCCCCGAGAUGAGUUCUCCCUGAGACUUUAAGUCUCCUGAAGGAACGUUGAAGACGACGACGUUGAUAGGCCGGGUGUGUAAGCGCAGCGAUGCGUUGAGCUAACCGGUACUAAUGAACCGUGAGGCUUAACCUU